UCCGGUUUGGCACCGGCAGUCCUCCCAGAGUCCUCGGCAUGACCCGGUAGCAACUGGGAGCGGGGGUUGCGCUCGUUGCGGGACUUAACCCAACAUCUCACGACACGAGCUGACGACAGCCAUGCAGCACCUGUCUAGCGGUCCCGAAGGAGGGUCCCGGUUUCUCGAGACUUUCCCCUAGAUGUCAAGCCCAGGUAAGGUUCUUCGCGUUGCGUCGAAUUAAACCACAUGCUCCACCGCUUGUGCGGGCCCCCGUCAAUUCCUUUGAGUUUCAAUCUUGCGAUCGUACUUCCCAGGUGGGAUACUUAAUGCUUUCGCUCAGACACUUGCUGUGUAUCGCAAAUGUCGAGUAUCCAUAGUUUAGGGCGUGGACUAC
Molecule: unclassified non-coding RNA, 376 nt
Filed under: uncultured bacterium
Lineage: Bacteria
Description: contains 16S-23S intergenic spacer region
Source: RNAcentral